AGAGUUUGAUCAUGGCUCAGAGCGAACGCUGGCGGCGUGCUUAACACAUGCAAGUCGAGUGCGCGCCUGUAGCAAUACAGGUGGCGCACGGCGCACGGGUGCGUAACACGUGGGUAAUCUGCCCUUCGAUGGGGAAUAACUCCGGGAAACCGAAGCUAAUUCCGCAUAACAUUCCUUGAACUUCGGUUUGGGGAUUCAAAGCCGUAAGGCGUCGGAGGAGGAACCCGCGCACGAUUAGCUAGUUGGUAGGGUAACGGCCUACCAAGGCUUUGAUCGUUAGCUGGUCUGAGAGGAUGGCCAGCCACACUGGAACUGAGACACGGUCCAGACUCCUACGGGAGGCAGCAGUGGGGAAUCUUGCACAAUGGGCGAAAGCCUGAUGCAGCGACGCCGCGUGGGGGAUGAAGCUUUUCGGAGUGUAAACCCCUUUCGACCCGGACGAAUGCCCCGCAAGGGGACUGACGGUACGGGUAUAAGAAGCCCCGGCUAACUACGUGCCAGCAGCCGCGGUAAGACGUGGGGGGCCAGCGUUGCUCGGAAUUACUGGGUGUAAAGGGUUCGUAGGCGGUGUGGCAAGUCGGGAGUGAAAUCUCUGGGCUUAACUCAGAGACUGCUUCCGAAACUGCUGUGCUUGAGUGUGGGAGAGGCGCGUGGAAUUGCAGGUGUAGCGGUGAAAUGCGUAGAUAUCUGCAGGAACACCCGUGGCGAAAGCGGCGCGCUGGACCACUACUGACGCUGAGGAACGAAAGCUAGGGGAGCAAACAGGAUUAGAUACCCUGGUAGUCCUAGCCCUAAACGAUCAGGACUUGGGGUGCCGCACGUUCGUGCGUCGUCCCGGAGCUAACGCGUUAAGUCCUGCACCUGGGGAGUACGGUCCCA
Molecule: ribosomal RNA, 879 nt
Filed under: uncultured bacterium
Lineage: Bacteria
Description: bacterial SSU rRNA
Rfam family: Bacterial small subunit ribosomal RNA
Source: RNAcentral